RNAcentral lists this ribosomal RNA (453 nucleotides) under Capnocytophaga sp. oral taxon 326. Its description in RNAcentral is "bacterial SSU rRNA". It matches the Rfam family "Bacterial small subunit ribosomal RNA", at positions 28 to 487 of the family's 1533-position model. The record is from RNAcentral. Lineage: Bacteria; Pseudomonadati; Bacteroidota; Flavobacteriia; Flavobacteriales; Flavobacteriaceae.
GAUGAACGCUAGCGGCAGGCCUAACACAUGCAAGUCGAGGGAGAAGCCUUCGGGCUAAAACCGGCGCACGGGUGCGUAACGCGUAUACAAUCUGCCUUUUAUCCGGGGGAUAGCCCGAAGAAAUUUGGAUUAAUACCCUAUGGUAUAAGAGCACGGCAUCGUGCACUUAUUAAAGCUACGGCGGUAAAAGAUGAGUAUGCGUUCUAUUAGCUAGUUGGAGAGGUAACGGCUCCCCAAGGCGACGAUAGAUAGGGGUUCUGAGAGGGAUGUCCCCCACACUGGUACUGAGAUACGGACCAGACUCCUACGGGAGGCAGCAGUGAGGAAUAUUGGACAAUGGUCGGAAGACUGAUCCAGCCAUGCCGCGUGCAGGAUGACGGCCUUAUGGGUUGUAAACUGCUUUUGUAAGGGAAGAAUAAGGAGUACGCGUACUUUGAUGACGGACCUACGAAU